Molecule: ribosomal RNA, 467 nt
Filed under: uncultured bacterium
Lineage: Bacteria
Description: partial 16S ribosomal RNA
Rfam family: Bacterial small subunit ribosomal RNA
Source: RNAcentral
GACGAACGCUGGCGGCGUGCUUAACACAUGCAAGUCGAACGGAAAGGCCCUGCUUUUGUGGGGUGACGGGUGGCGAAAGGGGGAAGUAACAGGUGAGUAACCGGCCCUUGAUUUUGGGAUAACUUAAGGAAACGGGGGUUAAUACCGUAUAGGAGCUCCUGCUGCAUGGUGGGGGUUGGAAAGUUUGGGCGGUUUGGGUUGGACUCGCGGCUUAUCAGUUUGUUGGUGGGGUAGUGGCUUACCAAGGCUUUGACGGGUAGCCGGCCUGAGAGGGUGACCGGGCACAGUGGGACUGAGAUACGGCCCAGACUCCUACGGGAGGCAGCGGUGGGGAAUAUUGCACAAUGGGCGGAAGCGUGAUGCAGCAACGCCGCGUGCGGGAGGACGGCCUUCGGGUUGGAAACCGCUUUCGCCUGUGACGAGGCGUGAGGGACGGUAAUAGGGAAAGAAGCACCGGCUAACUACGG